Capsicum annuum is the source of this 396-nucleotide long non-coding RNA. RefSeq lists it as uncharacterized. NCBI's taxonomy places the organism in Eukaryota, Viridiplantae, Streptophyta, Magnoliopsida, Solanales, Solanaceae. The transcript has 2 exons. The record is from RefSeq and is a predicted model, not a curated record.
UUAUAAAUUUAUGAAUAUCUUAUGGUAUUCCUCCACUCUGCCUAUAUAAUUCAUAUUUUGUUUCAUGAAAAAUCUCAUUCAAGGUUAUUUUAUCUCUUCUUCAUUACAAUAGCAUACAUAAGGGUGAGGAAGAACAUGCUAAUCAUCCCAUAAUACAAUUUAUUUCACGUGAAGAACUAUGGUUUGUAAAGCCGUAAAGAAACUAUGGGGAUGAGGAAGAAGGUGAACAAGAUAUAAAAGGAGAGAAAAUCAAGCAAAUUCAGAAGAAGAUGAUGUAGAGUCUUAUAAUAAAAUUAUUAUUGUAGUAAUUUCUUCUAUUUAAUUUUCAAACCCUUCUUCUCUAUUAUUCAUGUAUGUGCUCUAUUGAUGAAUUUUAAAAAUAUUUUUUCCCUCCUA